CGUAACAAGGUUUCCGUAGGUGAACCUGCGGAAGGAUCAUCGUCGA
This 46-nucleotide ribosomal RNA is filed under the name Astragalus penduliflorus. RNAcentral describes it as "partial 18S ribosomal RNA". It matches the Rfam family "Eukaryotic small subunit ribosomal RNA", at positions 1790 to 1831 of the family's 1831-position model. The record is from RNAcentral. Lineage: Eukaryota; Viridiplantae; Streptophyta; Magnoliopsida; Fabales; Fabaceae.